AUUGAACGCUGGCGGCAUGCUUUACACAUGCAAGUCGAACGGUAACAGCACUUCGGUGGCUGACGAGUGGCGAACGGGUGAGUAAUACAUCGGAACGUGCCUAGUAGUGGGGGAUAACUACUCGAAAGAGUAGCUAAUACCGCAUGAGAUCUAAGGAUGAAAGCAGGGGACCUUCGGGCCUUGCGCUACUAGAGCGGCUGAUGGCAGAUUAGGUAGUUGGUGGGAUAAAAGCUUACCAAGCCGACGAUCUGUAGCUGGUCUGAGAGGACGACCAGCCACACUGGGACUGAGACACGGCCCAGAGUCCUACGGGAGGCAGCAGUGGGGAAUUUUGGACAAUGGGCGCAAGCCUGAUCCAGCAAUGCCGCGUGCAGGAUGAAGGCCUUCGGGUUGUAAACUGCUUUUGUACGGAACGAAAAGCCCUCUUCUAAUACAGGAGGGUCAUGACGGUACCGUAAGAAUAAGCACCGGCUAACUACGUG
RNAcentral lists this ribosomal RNA (482 nucleotides) under uncultured bacterium. RNAcentral describes it as "partial 16S ribosomal RNA". It matches the Rfam family "Bacterial small subunit ribosomal RNA", at positions 30 to 507 of the family's 1533-position model. The record is from RNAcentral.